GACGAACGCUGGCGGCGUGCUUAACACAUGCAAGUCGAACGGUAAGGCUCCAGCUUGCUGGGGUACACGAGUGGCGAACGGGUGAGUAACACGUGGGUGACCUGCCCUGCACUUCGGGAUAAGCCUGGGAAACUGGGUCUAAUACCGGAUAGGACCACACCGUGAGGGUGUGGUGGAAAGUUUUUUCGGUGUGGGAUGGGCCCGCGGCCUAUCAGCUUGUUGGUGGGGUAAUGGCCUACCAAGGCGGCGACGGGUAGCCGGCCUGAGAGGGUGGACGGCCACAUUGGGACUGAGACACGGCCCAGACUCCUACGGGAGGCAGCAGUGGGGAAUAUUGCACAAUGGGCGGAAGCCUGAUGCAGCGACGCCGCGUGGGGGAUGACGGCCUUCGGGUUGUAAACUCCUUUCACCAUCGACGAAGGGUUUCUGACGGUAGAUGGAGAAGAAGCACCGGCUAACUACGUGCCAGCAGCCGCGGUAAUACGUAGGGUGCGAGCGUUGUCCGGAAUUACUGGGCGUAAAGAGCUCGUAGGUGGUUUGUCGCGUCGUCUGUGAAAUUCCGGGGCUUAACUCCGGGCGUGCAGGCGAUACGGGCAUAACUUGAGUACUGUAGGGGAGACUGGAAUUCCUGGUGUAGCGGUGAAAUGCGCAGAUAUCAGGAGGAACACCGGUGGCGAAGGCGGGUCUCUGGGCAGUAACCGACGCUGAGGAGCGAAAGCAUGGGGAGCGAACAGGAUUAGAUACCCUGGUAGUCCAUGCCGUAAACGGUGGGCGCUAGGUGUGGGUUUCCUUCCACGGGAUCCGUGCCGUAGCUAACGCAUUAAGCGCCCCGCCUGGGGAGUACGGCCGCAAGGCUAAAACUCAAAGGAAUUGACGGGGGCCCGCACAAGCGGCGGAGCAUGUGGAUUAAUUCGAUGCAACGCGAAGAACCUUACCUGGGCUUGACAUAUACAGGAUCGCGCCAGAGAUGGUGUUUCCCUUGUGGCUUGUAUACAGGUGGUGCAUGGUUGUCGUCAGCUCGUGUCGUGAGAUGUUGGGUUAAGUCCCGCAACGAGCGCAACCCUUGUCUUAUGUUGCCAGCACGUUGUGGUGGGGACUCGUAAGAAACUGCCGGGGUUAACUCGGAGGAAGGUGGGGAUGACGUCAAAUCAUCAUGCCCCUUAUGUCCAGGGCUUCACACAUGCUACAAUGGUCGGUACAGUGGGUUGCCAGUCCGUGAGGGCGAGCUAAUCCCGCAAAGCCGGUCUCAGUUCGGAUCGGGGUCUGCAACUCGACCCCGUGAAGUCGGAGUCGCUAGUAAUCGCAGAUCAGCAACGCUGCGGUGAAUACGUUCCCGGGCCU
Molecule: ribosomal RNA, 1341 nt
Filed under: uncultured bacterium
Lineage: Bacteria
Description: 16S ribosomal RNA
Rfam family: Bacterial small subunit ribosomal RNA
Source: RNAcentral